AUUACAAAUGUCUGGGAUGUCCAAUCGGGCCCCCAAGCAAACACAUCCAUGUGUACACUCCCAUGUUGCUUCCCCAGAUCAGUGGCCACUGCUGCCAGCCCACCCCCUCAAUUGGGGUCCUGGGUUGAGGUGUCUGGGGAAGGGCCCAAUAACAAACCUUUGAACCAAUUAGUUGUCUGAGUAGGCCACCCGCCGCAAUCUUUAAAACAUGUUAAAACUUUCAACAACGGAUCUCUUGGCUCUCGCAUCGAUGAAGAACGCAGCGAAAUGCGAUAAGUAAUGUGAAUUGCAGAAUUCAGUGAAUCAUCGAAUCUUUGAACGCACAUUGCGCCCUUUGGUAUUCCUUAGGGCAUGCCUGUUCGAGCGUCACUAAAAACCCCCUCACAGAUAAUGUGGUAUUGGUAGAAGUGAACGGUACUUACAUUACCUUGUCUCACUCUGCUGAAAUGAAUAGGCCAGAGAAGUGGACCCAUGGUAAUUGACUCCAGGAGUGUUUUUCAAUGCUAAACUAGUCUUUACCCAAGUCAAAUUCUGAGCUACCGGACCCCCCAUUAAGUCCAAAACAGAGUGGUUGACCUCGGAUCAGGUAGGGAUACCCGCUGAACUUAAGCA
This 612-nucleotide ribosomal RNA is filed under the name Tuber sp. 4 SE-2015. Its description in RNAcentral is "eukaryotic LSU rRNA". The stretch from base 216 to 369 matches the Rfam family "5.8S ribosomal RNA". The record is from RNAcentral. Lineage: Eukaryota; Fungi; Ascomycota; Pezizomycetes; Pezizales; Tuberaceae.